AUACGAAGGGGGCUAGCGUUGUCCGGAUUUACUGGGCGUAAAGCGCACGUAGGCGGAUUGAUUAGUUAGGGGUGAAAUCCCGAGGCUCAACCUCGGAACUGCCUCUAAAACUGUCAAUCUCGAGACCGGAAGAGGUGAGUGGAACUCCUAGUGUAGAGGUGGAAUUCGUAGAUAAUAGGAAGAACACCAGUGGCGAAGGCGGCUCACUGGUCCGGUACUGACGCUGAGGUGCGAAAGCGUGGGGAGCGAACAGGAUUAGAAACCCUAGUAGUCC
This 274-nucleotide ribosomal RNA is filed under the name uncultured bacterium. RNAcentral's name for it is "partial 16S ribosomal RNA". It matches the Rfam family "Bacterial small subunit ribosomal RNA", at positions 523 to 796 of the family's 1533-position model. The record is from RNAcentral.